RNAcentral lists this ribosomal RNA (407 nucleotides) under uncultured bacterium. Its description in RNAcentral is "partial 16S ribosomal RNA". It matches the Rfam family "Bacterial small subunit ribosomal RNA", at positions 30 to 526 of the family's 1533-position model. The record is from RNAcentral.
AUUGAACGCUGGCGGCAGGCCUAAUACAUGCAAGUCGAGCGGAGCGGCGGACGGGUGAGUACUGCCUAGGAAUCUGCCUGGUAGUGGGGGAUCCCGUCCGGAAACGGGCCCUAAUACCGCAUACUAUCAGAUGAGCCUCGGUCGGAUUAGCUAGUUGGUGGGGUAAUGGCUUACCAAGGCGACGAUCCGUAACGGGUCUGAGAGGGUGAUCAGUAACACGGGAACUGAGACACGGGCAAGACUCCUACGGGAGGCAGCAGUAGGGAAUAUUGGACAAGGGGCGAAAGCCUGAUCGAGCCAUGCCGCGUGAGUGAAGAAGGUUUUCGGAUUGUAAAGCACUGUAAGUUGGGAAGCGGUACCAACAGAAUAAGCACCGGCUAACUUCGUGCCAGCAGCCGCGGUAAUAC